Corvus hawaiiensis (hawaiian crow) is the source of this 13886-nucleotide long non-coding RNA. RefSeq lists it as uncharacterized. The record is from RefSeq and is a predicted model, not a curated record. Lineage: Eukaryota; Metazoa; Chordata; Aves; Passeriformes; Corvidae. The transcript is spliced from 2 exons.
UCCCCGCGGCCCCGGCCCCGGCGGCGUCCCCGCGCCUCCCUGCCGCCUUGGUAGCGCCGGUCCGCACUCGGCCUGACCCGGGACGUCACGGCGCCUGCCUGUGUUCCCAAUGAUAACUUGGCAGGAGCAGGGGGAAGCGGCCGGGUUUUUCCUGGGCUCGUUACCGGGGUGACAUUCAGUGCCGGGCGAGCCUCGCCGGUCACCGCCACGUCCCACCUGGAAAAAACACAAACAAAACCACGAAAAAAAAAAAAAAAAGCCAACAACAACAACAAAAAGGCGACUGCAGAAAAGGGGGGAUGGGGAGGGAGGGGUGCCAGCCCCCCACGGCCGGGAUGCGGGCGGCGGACGGGACACCUCGCCCAGGGGACGCGGGGACACACGCGCCGCCGGCCACUAGCAGGCCAUGUGCCGAGCGGCCGGCGGGGGCGGGGGAACGGGCACCGCACACAUACAAAAAAACCCCAGUAAAUAAAUAAAAAGACAAAAAAGCACCCGGAAUGCCAGAGGAGGCCGGGCGAGGAACGAGGAUGCCGCACCGCUGCUGCCGUGCAGGCCCGGCGCCGCGCCCCCCCAAUGCCUUGCAGGGCUCUGCAGGGAAGGCGGGGGAGCCCCCGGCGCACAGCGCCCCACGGCCCCGCCGGGAGCCGGGGUGCCCCGGGGGCGCUGCGGGCCGGGCAGCCCGGGCCGCACUGGGGCACCGGGCUGCGCAAUGGCGUCGCCGCCGAGCAGAGCCAAGCGCUGGCGCAGGCCCUGGCAGGGCUCGGUGAGAGGAGCCUGAGCCAUCGCUCCCACCUCUGCUGCUGGGGCAGCCGAGCAGCUGCUCCCGAAGGCGGGAGGGUUUGCGUUAAAGCAGAGCGAGCCGGGGCCUGCGGCAGCCCCGGGGCCGCUGUGACCGCCGAGCAGGCUGGCAGCGCUGUGCCCGGCCAUGGCAGCAGCCACACGCAUCCGCUGCCCUGGCUUCGUGCGCUUCGCAAAGCCAGAUCCUGCAAAUCUCCAUGAACGCUCCCCCUAAAUUCCGAGGACAUUUUCACACGUGAGACUUAACUCGCAUGCAAAAGUAUUCCCAGAACUAGGCCUCGCUUAAACUACCCAUGGCAACCUGAGUUUAAGUGCGUCUUCAUCUAAAAACCAGUUGUUACCACACAUUGCUGCAGCACCACACCACCUACUCUGUGACCGCAGAGCGUCCCAGCAGAGCCCUGAGACAAGUGUCCCUCUUCUGUGUUGCUUUUCACACCACCUAUUACAAUAACAAGUUACAACAUCGCCAGUGCACAGGUAACUAGCGCAGCGGAGUUCGUGAAGUGAUGCAUGUAGCAGGGCUGAAACUAAAUUAUUUUUUGCAACUGCCUCUGUUCUGCCUUAAUAUUAGCAUUAAUACUUUCAUUUUCCUCAUUUAAAUACAAUAAAAGGGAAGAUUGCCUUUGCUUAAUAUUGUUACUAAUUAGGUUUUGCAAUUCCAGUUUUUAUAAGGCGAUAAAGUCAGGGAAAAAGUCAGUGUACACCUUCUCUGUUGCUGGGCUCAGUGCCCUUAGCAGCAGCUUAUUUUAAAUGCUGGGAGCACCUACUGCAACUGGAAAAAGAGUUCGGGAAAAAGAAAUCAUUCUUGGAAUAUUGUACAGUCCAAGCAUCAUUUUAAGAAGCCUGAAAUUGAAAGCACUGGGGUGGUUUUUUUGGUUUUGUUUUUAAAUGUAAACUACUCAGGAUGCUUUCUGGCUUGGCUAGAAAGACAAGUUUGCUACAUGUUUCUGUUCUGAAAUAAUCUUUAACUGCUUUUAUGCUAAUUUUAACUCUAUGCAUUUUAACUCUACUGUCUCAACAGAGUACAUUACUGACACAUAUUUUUCAUAGAUUUGAGAAGCAGUGUGUAGAGCUUGAUUGUUGUCUGUAUUUCACCACUCAUUUUUAAGUGAGGCUCUUUUGAUUGACGUGGGGAAUUUGUGUAAAAGGGUAUGGCAUAGCUACCCAAGAUGCUAGUUACAAUUACACCAUACCUCAGCUAACAGAGAGAUUUUUCAUUGUGAUUGUUACACUCUUAAAAGUGAAUUAGUUAAUCAAAUUGCUAUUUUUGGAGUGUGCUUAAAGGAACAUUAAAAUGCAUUAAUUUCAUUAAAAUAAAUGAGCAGAUAGGUAACAAAACAAGUGCCAGCCAAAUAAGCAAGAUCUCAACUAUGGAGUCACAUCCAGCCCUGGUGAAGUCAUCUGAGUUGUGCAUGUCUACAGCACAUUUAAUUUGGCUUCUGCAGUCACACAGCUGACGCUUUAUUUGGUUGUCAGAGGUGUGUAUAUUAAAAAUGUGCGAGCCCUGCUUCUUCUCCAGUGUGAUUAACCUCUGAAGUUAAAUUCACCUGGUUCCCAUUUAGCUCUGCUGUGCAGUCCUAUCACACAUGCAGUUUUUGGUGUGUACACACUGGAGAUGCAGAGAGGCAUUCCCAGCCCCUGUAUCCGGCUAAGGGAUGUGAGUUGUGUCUGAAGUGAGGGUGUGAUGAGGUGGAUUUUAGCAGAGGCUGUUCACAACCAACUGCAUAUAUAUGCUCCAGUUAAUAGGCUCUACUGGAGUCUGUGCUACCAUCUUUCAUUACUGCUGUUACUCAUGCCAGUGAGAGUAGAGGAAGGGUUGGUGUGUCUGUAAUCAUACAUUCAUUUGCUAUGCAGAUAUAUCCUAAGAACCUCUCAGCCCAGGAAAAUUAUGCUGGAAUAAGGUCGGAUGUGAAUGUAAAGCCGAACUGUAUUCAGAUAGUUUAUUCAUUCUGGAAUAACCGAGUUGUUUCCUGGUUUCACUUAAUCCACUUUCAAAGUGGAUUAAGGUAAUUCAAGAAACUGAAUUGUUACACUGGUGUAAGAGUUGUCUACACAUGGGUUUAGUUGAACGUAAUUACUGCGGUACCUAAUAAGUGCCUUGAAAUAAUUUGGUGUGUAGACAAGUCCAGAGUCCCACAGGUGAAAACAACAGAAUUUAGUCAUUUUGUAUAACAUGAGGUUAAUUUAGCCCAACACUUGACCUACUUCUUUCCUCAUGAAGCAUAUUUAAUUCAUUACAGGUUUUUCUUCCUCAACAAAAACCCCACAACAGAAAUGUAUUUGUGAUCAGUUUCAAGAUAGCAAUGCCAUGUGUAUUCCACUAAAACAGUUCAAACAGUAUAUACUCUAAAUACCUUCUCAGCUGCCCUAAAGAGGACAAAAGGUUCUUUACUGAAAGAAACACUGGCUUCUCAAUCAUAAAUAUUUUGAGCGGGUUGUUCCAAACAAAAGGAAAAUGCACCCCAAAGCUCUGCUCUGCUCUCUGAGACACCCAUGAUCCAUUUGACUGCAUUCCAUUCAUAGCAAUAGCACCCAGUCUGAUUCAGCAAUUUUAGUUCCUGAAUGAGGAACCUCACAGACUCUCACAGAAGAGUUUGCAGUACAGCAAGGCCUUCAGGGGAGGCACCUUAAGAAUAGAGAGCUAAUUUAUAGUUUGCUUACAGAGGUCUGAAUCAGGGAGAACCUACCUGAAACCCAGGCAGCCACCCUGCCUCUGCUCUGAAUCAGGUGUAUCACAUCACUUGCAUAUGGGAAAGUGACUGAACUGAUAAUGAGAACAUACAAUAUGCUUUGUUACCUUGUGCCAAGCACAAAGUUUGUCAAACAUCAUUCAGUGUCAUUCCAUGCCAUGGAUACCCAUGGAACUAAGGUGAUUCUCUGAUGUGAAUGAAGCCUCCUAACCUUUAAACUUAAGAUUGUUUGUUGGUUUUCUUUUUUGGGGGGAGAAAAACCGAACAAAAACGUGUCACACGUUAGCCGGGGUCUUCCUUUACACAAAUGAAGCAGCCCCAGGUACUCGGUGUAACAGGCAGUGAUGCCUACAGGAUUCUCAUUUUGUGAUUACAAGCAUGGCUUUGCGCUACUGUGCUUGUCUUGGUUAAGGAUAUAGGGAAUGGAUUUCACCUACAACUCCCUCACGCCAAAUCUGCUUAUUUAAGUAAGAAUAAUUCUGGUAACAAAAUAAGCAUUGAGUGAAGAAGGUAAACGUGAACAAACGUAAAUGAGAAAUCAAGUACUUAGAUUCAGUGGUGCUGGAUGACUUUGACCAUGGGUCUUGAUAUUAAGGCUCAAAUAUUAAGCCUGAUAUUACACUCAGAUUGAAGGCAGUUAGAGUUUUAUAGGAGCGUGCCUGAUCUGAAGUCCCACUUGAAUAAAAAAAUUGGAUUGGAUUAUUGUACACUCUGCUUCUGCUGAGAGGUUUCUGAGCAUUGGAUCCACCUGCAGUGGUGGGGUAUCCUGGCUCUCCCCCACUCCUGUCAUUGCAGGGCCAUUACUCAUCCAGUGGGGAAGAUGUCUUUAAAUCUCCGAGACAAUGGCACACGCAAGAGGAAAUCUCAGCGCGCAGCCAAUGCCAGGCAACGAAGGAUCCUCUGUGGGAGUUGGUUAGUAGUGCCAAUGUUUGAUAUUUGUCGUAACAACCACCGACUGUUUUGUUUUUUGUUCUAACAAUGUGAAUUAUGCAUUAAACAUUAAUACAAGUGAGUGUACUUUCUUUUGAUCUUCAAGCAUAAUCAUUUCUAAUGAGAGCUUAUACAUGAGCAUUGAAACAAAUCCCUGAGUCAUGUGAAUUUACAUUGGUUUUACUCUGUGGGAAAGAUCCCACAUGAGUUACUCAUGUCUGUAAAACAUAACAUACUUAUAAAUCAGAAGAAAAAAAUGAGCUUGCAUUUGUCUCUUGGAACAUAAAUAUCUGCGUAGACAUUUGGCUUGUACCCUAGCAGUAAUGAAACAUUAAAAAGUUAAUUUAUCAGAGAUCAGGAUUCAGGGUGGGGCCCUCAACUAAUGUGAGAUCCAAAUCUGCUCAGAAUAAGCUCAGCUCUUAGUUUCUACCAUCUGGCUUUUUACAAGAGUUGAGUCUAGCAUCAGAGGAGUUUGAACUAGCUGUAAGUAAAGGGAUCAGGAUUUGGCUUGCUUGAUACAGAUAAAAGUUGCCAAACUGCCAUCACCAUGUUAUAAUAUGCCAGUACAAGCAGGCAAGCUGUGCAGUGCUAAGUGGCACCUCUCCAAAUGCCCUUGACAGCCAGUACGAGGCUGACCCAGGCCGGACCCACUGUAGAACCUGCUUGGCCAUGUUUAAUAUCUGCACUUCUUAAAACAACAGUCACAAAUGCUGCAUUCCGUAAAAACAUAAACACUGUGGAUUGUAUAACUGCCAAGACAGUUACUUAAAAUGCAAACAGAAUUUAAGCCCUUUCCCCUUUGACAUGCUGCACAAAUAUUAAACCAACAGGCGAUUAAGAGCCUACACUUCAGCAGCCGUGCUGUGUGUGCAAGGGACAGGCAGCACACUGGGGAAAGUACAGGUGCAAAACAGUACGUGAUGGGCCCAAUUCCUGGGGGUGCAGGUACUCACUACAAGAUUUCCAGAAUGCCUCUUGCCUUUCCAAACAGACCUCAAUGGCAAAGGUUGCAGGAGGUGACUAUCAAGAAGGUAUUAUGUUUAAUGGCAGAUAGGCUCUAUCUAUGAUUAAGGUCAUAUCUCAAGAAUUCUCAAAAGCCCAUUAAUGUAUUUUAUUCUUAAUGUGUAAGUGCUAAAGGAGUCCUGGAAGUCAGAAAUCCAGGAUUACCCCACAUAAUUCAAUGUUUUCACAGAAGCAUACAGUCAUGCUCUCUGCUACUUCCUUUCUCUUGCCUGAAUGACCUUAAAUGCUGAUGGUAGAGCUUCAAAAGGAGAGUGGAAGCAGCCUAUGCAUAGACUAGUUUGUAGACUGGAAGAAGAGCAAACACAAAACUCUUCAUCCCUGAACUUGAAUUCUUGGUCCAAGUGUUUUGUUUUAUAUAAUGACAGAGGAACUGAUGCUAUUGCAGUAGAGAAGAAAGCACCCAAGACACUCGGUUAGGGAACCUCAACACUGUAUGUAUGAAUUAUCUUCCCUGAGGUUGCACAACUUCACCUGGCAUGUUAAGUUAAAAGAUGGAUAGGUCAAUAUUAGGUCUUAAAUAAUUUUGGAUAGAAGGACCUCAACUCCAUCUAGACCCUGUUUGAAGCACAUUGACGUUAUCCAGCUUCAAAAGUUCAGUGAGUCUUCUGACUUUUCAGAAUGCGUCAGUACAUCCCCAGGCACACACAAAAAGCUGUGCUUGCAAAGAUGGGAUAGAUACAGGUAGAAAAUGGUGUACCAGAAGCAUGUAGGGAGGCCUCUAAGCAUCAGCCAGGGUGACAAAGCAUGCUGGCCCAUGGAUUCCCAGGCUGUAUUCACAGCCCUGGAAUGCCUGCUGGAAACACUCCCCUGUAAUUUAGCUCAUUUGGUGUGCAUUAAAGAUGCUCAUUUCUAGACCCCUAAGUGAAAUGUGAUACUGAACUCAUUCUUCCUCUUAAACCAGCAGGCCUCAGCAGAUGGCCAAGAGGCCAAUGGGAAGGAGAGAACGCCAGUUUUAAUCCAGUUGUUCUUGAUGGAAAAUUAUGAGAAAAGUGAAAAUAUCUUAUUCCACAGACCAAGGCAUUUACUUACAUUUAACUGCCUAACCUCAGUCAGAACCCUGAAUUCUGUUACUAUAUGUGAAUGUUACGAUAUGGUGAAGUUUUAUUUGGUAAUUACCUGGUCAGAGCCACAGACUAGAAACCAGAUAUGCAGCCAGUGAGAGCCCAGGGGAGUCAUACCAGUUUAUCCUCGGUGAGAAUCCAAUCUUCACUUUCAAAUUAAAAAAAUUGAUAAGUUGCAUUUUUCCAUGGUAUUUUGGUUAUAUCAUACAGGGGGGAAAAAAAAAAAAAGCAAGAAAAUAAAAAAUAAAGUUAUAGAUAUUUAUAUAACCAAGACAGAAGCAGAACCAAUGGGAAAUAUUUAGCAAUUAAAUUCUACAUCCAAAUUAUUAGGUAUUUCAGUGUUGGUGCCAUGUGCAUUACUGCUUAACUUUAGGGCAGCAAGGUAAGCUCAUUUUCUUGCCUCUGUCUUUUCAGCCACCAUUAGGGCUGCAACCUUCCCAUCCUCCAGGGAGAGGGGGAGAAGUUACACAAUGGGUGUUUUUCCAUGGGCGGAUGUCUAAAUGUGAAGGGAAACAAUUGAAUUUUAAUGACAAUUUUGAGACUCUUGAAGUUAAUUUCUGGGCAGUGCAGAAAUUAGUGGGGCUUGCUGCUGCCAAGAGCUGCAUGUUCUCCUCUCCUUCUGAUGUUAGCAGGAUUACAGGUCUCAGCUUUUGGCAGAAAUAACUCCCAAAAUAGUAGGUCCUUCUCUCUUGCCACAAAAGGCAGAGCGAGAGACCUGCUGCUGUCAGACCCAACCAAGUGUCAGUGCAGAGCAAUGGCUACAAAAACCAGGGUAACUGCACCAGAUUUACACUACCAGAGAUGUGUUCUCAUUAGGCAUUUACAGCAUAGUAGCACUAUCCAGGGUAGGAUGGGAAAUUUGUUAGGUGCUGCACAAAACGUUUCACCAGAAAAAGUUCCUGCAUCCAAAAGCACUACAAAAAUGAUUGCGGAAGGAGAGUGGCAAACAAUGGGAUAUCCUGGGAAAAAAAGUACACCAGUGAUUGCAGCAAAGGCAGCCAGCUAUGAAGGCUUUUCCUACACGCAGGGUAACGAUAAUUCUGCCAAGGAGGCAAGUUAUUUCCUUUUUAGCUAUGCUAUUUCCACUGCAUUACUGAAUCAUGGUUUGUUAAUAGCUUACAAACAUCAAGUUUAAAAAGCUUUAGGAGCUUUGUCAUAUCUAAGACAAUAUGUACCAAUUUAUCCAUUUCUGUAGAAAUACAUGCUCCAAUGGAUUUUGGGGUUGUGGUUGUCAGAGUGGGGUUUUUAAUGACUUUAAUAAAGAAGGGAUAAUUUUGGUGUUGUUUUUGUCUUCUUAGAAGAUUCAGAAAGGAAUCUAAAAGAUAGUCCCAAAAUCUGUAUAUAUCUACUUGUAGAUAGUGAAGUAGAAAAUAAAAGGUGCUUCAAAAUAGUGCCAGUCAUUUAAUCUGCUCUGUAGUUGGAUGGCAGAAUGCCAAGCAUUUUCACCAAAAGCAGGAGACUCAGUGCAGAGGACUGUCUUUUCAAUUUUGGGCUAUGCAAUCAUAGCCCCAAACAGGUCAUGGAAGGGAUCAGCCUUCCCCACGUUACCCCUCUGGUCAGAUGGCAGCUCCAGCCAAAAGGAGAGAAGAAAAGAGGACAGCCGUAGCCACCUGGCACUGCCUUUCUGCACAGCAAAAAGCAGGCACAGGAGGAGAGACCUGGUGUCCAGCCAGGUGUGGCAGGACUGGCAAGCCAGGCUGCCAAGCUGGAGCUCAUCCUCUGAAUGGGAUUCUGCAGGGGAGGGCACGGAGAAGGUAAUAUUGGGGAACUGCUUCCCUUGCAAAGAUCUCUGCGUCCCCAUUUACCCUCUCCUGUGAGAUGGCCAAACAUGGCUCUUAAUUUGGCAGAAAAUUUUCAGCCUGGUAUUAUGUUACUGUGUCCACCAGCCCACUACAAGGUGCACAUAAAACAUCACUGCUUAACAUGUUCUUGAAGUUCCCUUAUGCAACAGCCAGUUCUCAUUUUAGUUACAGAGAAUUAAAAGAAACAUCAGGAAAACUCACAUUACUGACUGACAUCAAGCCAUUUUUUUCCUAACACUGUUUUUUAUAUACAGUACCCAGAGUUUAGUUGUGUCCAUUAUUUCCUUCUACUCACUUAUUUCACUAAGGAUGAUUUUACUUAGAGCAAAUUUUUGCACUGUGCUACUGGAUACUAUGAUACAGUUCCUUGCUGUAGAACAAACUCACCAGUUUAGAAAAUCCACCAUAAUGUUUUGCUACUAAAUUUCUGCUGAGAAGUAGAGGCACUAGCUCACAAACAGCCCAUCCAAGUCCUUAUGGAACUUUCCCAAGAACCUCAGUGUUCUGCUUAUCAGGCUUGCACACACAGCUAAGUCUCAGCCCCUGCUCUGAGCCCUUGGGACAUGGGUGCUCAGUUAAGACUACAGAAAAAGGGAAAGCAUGACCACAAUCAACAGUCAUUCAUUUUAAUGGCUGCUAAUGUAAAAACAUAUUCCUAACCUUACUUGCUACAGCCAGAUACAUGAUAGGAGAACCAAUUUAUUUUCUUUUUAACUCUUUUGUACAAGUAAUGAUUUUUGAGAGAUUGGUAUAGUAAUUUCCAGUUGUUAGGAGACUGUUGCUUUACCUUUCUACCUGUGCAGAUAGGAUAUCAGAUUUCUUUCUGAGUUACCAAGACCACUCAGAGUUAACAUCCAGAAGCAGUUUCUUCUGUUCCAGCAGCACUUGCUGCUUCUUGGGGCAGUUCUUUAGGUACAAGUCCAAUAGAAAUGGCCCUUCACUAUUUUCCAUUACAGCUCAGGUUUUCUGCCUCAGCUUUAUGCUGCCACGAGCAUGUACAAAAUGGGAUCCUAGUUUUCCUCUCCAUGCCCUCAGUCCAAAAAAUGCUAUGCAAGAGUAAUUCCAUCUGAUUUCACAUAAUUCUGCUCUUGCACUUAAAAAUACAGGAGUUAACAUCCAAGAAGUUAUUUGGGUAGGGGAAAGAUUAACGGGUCUUCCAAUCCUCAUACAGGUGACCACAAGGUACAAGCUUUAUAGACAUUUGAUGAAUGAAGGGUUGCCACUAAAUGAAAGUGUGUCACAAAGCUCUAGAGAAAAUAGUUGAAAAAAAGAUUUUAGGAGUUUGUGAAGGCACCAUGAAAUGAAUGCACUUUAUGAGGCUACAGCGUAUGUGUAGCAGGUAUAUGCAAGCUGCUCUGUAUUCCUAAAUUGAUCACCAACAUAUCACUGGGAACCUGGGCUUCUGAGAGUCAUUUCUCUCUCUCUGUGCCUCCCUUAUAUGAAAGUCAGGAUAAUGUCUUUGGUGCCCCUUGGAUGAACAGAACAAGCUCAGCUGUUAAAUGUCAAGUAUUACAAUCAAUCACAGGUUUACCACAUCUGUUCUACCCAACCAUUUAAAAUUAUUAAUAUCAAAAUAAGCCACUCAAAAAUUAGUAAUGAUUGCAGAAGUCCCAGACUAUGGAACAUGAAUCUCAGUGAUUUCAAUGGAUGUGAUGCCAGCCUUAGAGAUAAGAUUAGCUUCAAUGUGAUUUGAAAGAUCCUAACACUCCAGCGACAAAUUAUUUGGUCUGCAUCUUCUGUUAGUUCAGGAAAGAUCUGUGCCUGUCCUGUCACAGUCCCUCAACUAUUGUUCCCCCCCACUUUGAAUAUUUUCCUAUGAACGCUGCUUGCUCCAUAACAAACAAUCAAAAAAACUUCAGACCCCCCAGCAUUCUAUGGUUGAAUUUAUAAUAUGUUUUCCCUCUUAAAUAAUUUUUAUUUCGAAAUAUUAAUGAAAAUUUAUUUGCCAGGUAAUCAGUAAAGGAAUUGAGAUAUAAUUCACUUGUUAUAGUCACUCUCACUUACAUGGGUCUACUACUGAUGAUCCUUCCUUACAUAAAUGCUUCAGGAAAGUUGGAUGCUACAUUUUCAGUAAUUUCUUUAUUCUACCCAGACAGAUAACAUUGGAUGCAUAAAGCUUCUCAUUUAUGUGGCACUUCCUUUAAAGCAAGUUUAUCCCCUUGAGUAAAUUUUUCCUUGGCUGUAAUGUGAGAUCUAUAUAUAGAUAGACAGAGAGGUGCACAGACAUCUGUAUCUGGCAUAGAUACCUGUAUUUAUCACGCUUAGUCCACUGGCUAGAUGUUAUUACAGAUUGGAAAAAGAAAAACAAAAAGUGAAAAUUUCUCUACUCAGUGUUUAGGAGAAGUUAGUAUCACCAAAUUUAGAAGUAUAAACUCAAUUUAUUUUUUGUCACCUGAAUACACCACCUGCCCCAAAAGUACCUGAUGUCAGUAGCAGUUCAUGCAUGUGUGCAGCUGCAAAAUCUUUUGAUAUCCAGAUGUCAGUGGAAACCAUCACUGGAUUACAGUAUUUUUUUGACAUAUGUAAAAGAUUCAGUCACCCUAAAAGUAUUUAACAAUUUCUACAGAGACACGAUAUGAAGAACUUCAAGUAUCUUUGAACAUAGAAGAGUCACUACUAUAUCCUACUAAAAUGCUUACUAUUUCCAACAUUUUUCAAGUAGACAAGAUGAAUAUGGAGGGAGGAGGGAAGAAAAUUAUUCAGAGAAAAUUCAAGUCAGAAAGAGAAAAAAAUAUUUUCUUAUUUAUAGUUCAGAGAUCUGUGCUAUUUUAAUUCCUCAUUUGAAGAGCUAUUUUAAAUUAUAAAUUGCAAGCCUAUUUUACAUGUCUUGCUCUUCUUGUGUGAGUACAAAAAUAUGAAAGAAUAAGGUAAAACAAGAUAGUAAAUAGUGAUUUAAUUUGUUCAGAAAGCAUUGAGUGAUAAGCAUCUGCAUGGAAUUACCUAGUUCAGUUCUACCCGAAUAUUCUCCUAACCGGAAGAAAACGUGCGAGUUCCUCACCCAUUUUAACAGCCAUCAUAAUGGAUGUUAAACUUAGCAGCAACAGUUCAUUGGCAGCUUCCCAAGACUGGCAUCAAUGUAAGGAUUUGUAUUUGAUAUGAAUGAAAAAAAAAAAAAAUCAUUGUUAUCCAGUAUUUGAAUGGAGGUUUGAAAUAGUUUAAUGCAAAACACCACAGAUGCCACUCAUGGACAUGAUAACUAUUUCAGGGGAGAGGGAGGAGGGAAAAUUUCCUACUGCAUAAUGAAAAAUAUAAAAAUAUUAACUAGAAACCUUGGUAGAAAUUAAAGCCUGAAACUACAGCUUUCUACAAAGAAGAUGAUGUCAGUUCUGUGUAUUUCUGCAAGAGAAAACCAAGACACUGGCAGGGAUUUCUAAGCAUUUCCACAACCCAAACAAUAAGAGGAAGCUAUUCAAAGUCACAAGAGUUUUGGUGUUAACUGCAUUGAAAACAUAACAGAGCCUUUAUCUUAAUCAGUUACUUAGAAUGAGCUGAUACUGAUUUAUCAUCUUUUCUCCCUCCAUGUUUGGAGCCACAGCCACUUACACAUUACUGACAUAUUUUCAAAAUCCCACACGUGGGCAAUAACAUGCAGUUCUUGCAAAUAUUUUGUGGGAAGGAGAUUGCCUGUAUUAUGCCAGUGCUGUUCUUCAGGGUCGUGAGUCACUAAGAAAAUACAGAGAAAUACUUAUUUUUGUGCUUUGAAUAAGAAGUCUUUUGUGACAGAAUAUAAGCAUGGGGAAGUAGUUUCUAAGUUUAUUAUUACUACUCUCUUUAUUAAGAAUGGCAAAUUUCGAAACAGUUGAAAUACUUAAAUGGAAGCACGCCACUAUCGCCAGUUUUUUCUGCAAAUGUUCAGUCAACAUCCUAAUUGUAGUCCUAUCCUAUAGGAUGAAAUGAGCUCCAGCUCUCUCCAUGCAUGAUAUAGCAGUAAGAAAAAAAUAAAAGGAAAAAAUCGAAACACUAUUUAUUCAGCAACUGAACCUUAGCCAAAAUGUACUACUAUUUACUAUGGUUAGUGGUAAUUUUACACAUAUAAUAAUCACAUAAGGCACUUAUAACAUUUGAAAGCCUGAGAUUUGCAUUAUCAUGUAGGCUCUUUUAAUUUUGUUAGGUAUAUACUGACAGAACUAAACGUGGGCAUUUACAGAAAAAAAAUCAGCUUUGUUAAGGCUGAGAUAAAUGAAUAAAAGAAAAUAAAUACAAUAUUAAAGUUGUUAAUGCUCCAUUCUCAACAAAAUUCUUAUAGUUAUGUGCUCUCCUUUCCUUUCUAUCAACAUGUAAUUCUCUGCAGGGAUGUCAAGGGGACCAUUCUGUUUUCCUAAAGUUAGCAAGCCAACAUCUGCUAAAUGCAGCACGACAUGCUGUUUACCUUUGUUGUAAACUUGAAGCUUUUCCAUUUAAGAACUGUAUAAAUGAAUCAGUAUUCAUUCACACCUAUGCCUAGAAGUAUCUAUUACAAAGCAGAGAGUGUUCAUUUUUAAUGUCCUCCUUAUUCUGAUUUUAUGCCUUAUUCCUCUGCACUGAUGCUGUUUGGAAUUGCUCUAGAUACAGUAACAAAUGCAAGGGAAGUAAAACAAAAAACAAUGGGGAUUUCCCCCUCGUUUUCUGCAAGUACUUAUGGACAGAAAAAGGUGAUAAAAAUGCAGAGGUAAAAGGUCUCGCCUGACAUCUCAUUUAAACAACUCGGCAGUUUAACAAACUGCUACAAAACAGAAGUUUUGUCCCACGCUCCAAAAACCAAGAUGAUAAAAUCCCAAACUAUAUGUUUAGAUUUGCCUUCUAAAAUCCUGUGCAAUAUUUAGCAACUUGUAUUUUAUGGCAGAAUUUCCAAGGGAAAUAGUAGGGGCUUGUCUGUUUUGUUUUGAUUUUUUAAAAUAUAUAUACAUUUCUCACCUGCUGAAAGGAAAUCUACCUACAUCAGCAAAAAGCACAGGUAAAAAGAAAAGACUAAUUAACAUAAAAAAUGCAACCACCCUUUCUUUAGUGAAUGCUUUUGAAUAAGAAAAUAAUUUUUCUGAUGCUGCAGAAACCCUGUAUUUGAACGAGCACCCACUAACAUCACUUGUCCCUCUAAUCAUCAUCAUUACUGAGACAGAAACAGCCUUUGUUGAUCACACGCAGCAUUCUCUAAAAUCCAUUUUUCCAAUUAAGUUUUUAUUCUCCUUCUUACUCGUCUGCUUUUGUUUAGUUUUGAGCACAGUUACAGCUGUACUUGGGUUAACUUGUGGCAGUAAGACAUUUGCAGAAGCUGUUGCUCUCAGUAACGUUGGCUAUUACUGAUUACAGCAUUGCUUAAGGCAGAUUCCUUGUUCUAAAUGGCAUUGGACAUUUUUACCUGGAUAUUGCAACACCACAUUAUGAGCACUGGGAUUUAAACAGAACAGUAAGCAGUGCUGCUGGCCUCUGGCUUUCAACAAUAAGCCAGUAGACUUUUGGGUGGAGACACAGCUAGAAAAUCGAGCUAUCACCAAAGUAUCUGAUGCAAUGCCUGUAUCUUUUUCUAACAUGCUACUGACCAAUUAUUACAUUCAGCUGCGAACCACGGUCCUAAAUAAUAAAGGUCAAAGUUUUCAUGG